GUGGAUUAGAUACCCUAGUAGUCCACGCUGUAAACGAUGAUUACUCGAUGUCGGCGAUAAACUGUCGGCGUCUUAGCGAAAGCGUUAAGUAAUCCACCUGGGGAGUACGCCCGCAAGGGUGAAACUCAAAGGAAUUGACGGGGGCCCGCACAAGCGGUGGAGCAUGUGGUUUAAUUCGAUGAUACGCGAGGAACCUUACCUAGGCUAGAAUGCGCGUGACCGCCUCAGAGAUGAGGCUUUCCUUCGGGACACAAAGCAAGGUGCUGCACGGCUGUCGUCAACU
Molecule: ribosomal RNA, 283 nt
Filed under: uncultured bacterium
Lineage: Bacteria
Description: partial 16S ribosomal RNA
Rfam family: Bacterial small subunit ribosomal RNA
Source: RNAcentral